Molecule: ribosomal RNA, 497 nt
Filed under: uncultured bacterium
Lineage: Bacteria
Description: partial 16S ribosomal RNA
Rfam family: Bacterial small subunit ribosomal RNA
Source: RNAcentral
GAUGAACGCUGGCGGCGUGCCUAAUACAUGCAAGUCGAGCGAACGGACGAGAAGCUUGCUUCUCUGAUGUUAGCGGCGGACGGGUGAGUAACACGUGGAUAACCUACCUAUAAGACUGGGAUAACUUCGGGAAACCGGAGCUAAUACCGGAUGAUAUUUUGAACCGCAUGGUUCAAAAGUGAAAGACGGUCUUGCUGUCACUUAUAGAUGGAUCCGCGCUGCAUUAGCUAGUUGGUAAGGUAACGGCUUACCAAGGCAACGAUGCAUAGCCGACCUGAGAGGGUGAUCGGCCACACUGGCACUGAGACACGGUCCAGACUCCUACAGGAGGCAGCAGUAGGGAAUCUUCCGCGAUGGGCGAAAGCCUGACGGAGCAACGCCGCGUGAGUGAUGAAGGUCUUCGGAUCGUAAAACUCUGUUAUUAGGGAAGAACAUAUGUGUAAGUAACUGUGCACAUCUUGACGGUACCUAAUCAGAAAGCCACGGCUAACUACGUG